This 587-nucleotide long non-coding RNA is filed under the name Setaria viridis. RNAcentral describes it as "long non-coding RNA (SVIR_LNC001203)". The record is from RNAcentral. Lineage: Eukaryota; Viridiplantae; Streptophyta; Magnoliopsida; Poales; Poaceae.
GAUGAUGGAGGGGAUUAAUUUGAGAUCCGAGAGAGGGAGGAGCGUGUUGGGCCACUGCAUGAUGCUGCAAGCAAGGGGCAAGUGGAUACUUGCAAGCACUCGGUGGAGCAUCUCGGAUUUGACCUCAAUUCUGUUGCUACUGAUGGCUCCGGUACGUAUGUCCUCAGGUGCUAGAUUAAACAUUUUCAUGUUUUGAUUAGUUCAGUUUUUCUGCUUAUAUAAUAAUUUGGUUGUUAUGUAAUUCUUAAUCAGAGAAUUUGACGAUCUGCCAAUUGAAAAUAUGGUCUUUUAUGACGUGAAUUGUUUAUAUAUUUUAUCAGGAGAUCAUACUCUAUAAUUGUGGUACAUGAAUGCUCUUGUUUCUUCUUGUACAACAUGGUUUCUUCUUCUUCUUCUUUUGCCUAGUGUCACCUCUCUGUCACUAGAAAUGGUAUUAUACAGUGAUGAAGUACAUUAUAAGUCUGCUACUUUGUUGUCAUUGCUAUUGGUUGCAUACUUUUUGUGCUUGUUCAUAGUCUUACCUGGCAUGAUAGCUAUUGCCAGUAAAGGAUGUUUAUUCUGUAUGUAUACGUAUUGUAACAAUGUGC